RNAcentral lists this ribosomal RNA (229 nucleotides) under uncultured bacterium. RNAcentral's name for it is "partial 16S ribosomal RNA". It matches the Rfam family "Bacterial small subunit ribosomal RNA", at positions 568 to 796 of the family's 1533-position model. The record is from RNAcentral.
CGCGUAGGCGGUCUCUAAAGUCAGAUGUGAAAGCCCGGGGCUUAACCCCGGAAGUGCAUUUGAAACUCAGGGACUUGAGUAUGGGAGAGGGAAGUGGAAUUCCUGGUGUAGCGGUGAAAUGCGUAGAUAUCAGGAGGAACACCAGUGGCGAAGGCGACUUCCUGGACCAAUACUGACGCUGAGGCGCGAAGGCGUGGGGAGCAAACAGGAUUUGAUACCCUGGUAGUCC